Long non-coding RNA from Pieris brassicae (large cabbage white), 637 nucleotides. RefSeq lists it as uncharacterized. The transcript is spliced from 2 exons. NCBI's taxonomy places the organism in Eukaryota, Metazoa, Arthropoda, Insecta, Lepidoptera, Pieridae. The record is from RefSeq and is a predicted model, not a curated record.
UCAUGGCGACAAUGGUUCGGUUUAGCUUAGUUCUUAUUUGUGGAUUAUUUGGACUUACAAAUGCAGGUGUCCGAGUAAUACGGUCCCCGCAGUUCGACAUUAGUGGAGCCAGUUCGAGCGCUUUUUCUGGACUUCGAGGCAUUUUAAGUGGAUUUCAAGCUAGACCACCUACAUUUGAAGGAGAUUACGGCUAUGGCCAAGGAGAAGGUUAUGAACAAGGAGGAGGUUUUGGCCAAGGGGUAGGCUAUGGACAAGGAGGAGGUUUUGGCCAAGGGGUAGGUUAUGGACAAGGAGGAGGUUUUGGCCAAGGAGGAGGUUAUGGACAAGGAGGUGGGUUCGGAAGUGGAGGAGGUUUUGGGCAAGGAGGAGGUUACGGCGAAGGAGGUGGAUUCGGAAGUGGAGGAGGUUUUGGGCAGGGAGGUGGAUUCGGUUACGGGCAAGGUUUUGGUAAAGGCCAAGGUGGCUUAAGUUUUUCUAAAAGCGUUAGUAUUGGCUUAGGAGGCGGGGCGCAGUCGGGCUCAAGCGCAUUCUCAUUUGGAAAGUGAGAGUGUAUGAAGACUGAAUAUAGUACAUAUAAGAAAACUUAUGUAACCAAAGUUUGUUCAAAUAUAUUUUUAAAUACAUAUUGAGAACUCAA